RNAcentral lists this ribosomal RNA (1192 nucleotides) under Microbacterium sp. S20. RNAcentral's name for it is "bacterial SSU rRNA". It matches the Rfam family "Bacterial small subunit ribosomal RNA", at positions 123 to 1324 of the family's 1533-position model. The record is from RNAcentral. Lineage: Bacteria; Bacillati; Actinomycetota; Actinomycetes; Micrococcales; Microbacteriaceae.
AACCUGCCCCGUAACUUUGGGAUAAGCGCUGGAAACGGCGUCUAAUACCGAAUACGCACCAUGGCGGCAUCGUCAAUGGUGGGAAAGAUUUUUCGGUUCGGGAGGGGCUCGCGGCCUAUCAGCUUGUUGGUGAGGUAAUGGCUCACCAAGGCGUCGACGGGUAGCCGGCCUGAGAGGGUGACCGGCCACACUGGGACUGAGACACGGCCCAGACUCCUACGGGAGGCAGCAGUGGGGAAUAUUGCACAAUGGGCGCAAGCCUGAUGCAGCAACGCCGCGUGAGGGAUGACGGCCUUCGGGUUGUAAACCUCUUUUAGUAGGGAAGAAGCGAAAGUGACGGUACCUGCAGAAAAAGCACCGGCUAACUACGUGCCAGCAGCCGCGGUAAUACGUAGGGUGCAAGCGUUAUCCGGAAUUAUUGGGCGUAAAGAGCUCGUAGGCGGUUUGUCGCGUCUGCUGUGAAAACUAGAGGCUCAACUUCUAGCUUGCAGUGGGUACGGGCAGACUAGAGUGCGGUAGGGGAGAUUGGAAUUCCUGGUGUAGCGGUGGAAUGCGCAGAUAUCAGGAGGAACACCGAUGGCGGAAGGCAGAUCUCUGGGCCGUAACUGACGCUGAGGAGCGAAAAGAGUGGGGAGCAAAACAGGCUUAGAUACCCUGGUAGUCCACUCCGUAAACGUUGGGAACUAGUUGUGGGGGCCUUUCUACGGUCUCCGUGACGCAGCUAACGCAUUAAGUUCCCCGCCUGGGGAGUACGGCCGCAAGGCUAAAACUCAAAGGAAUUGACGGGGACCCGCACAAGCGGCGGAGCAUGCGGAUUAAUUCGAUGCAACGCGAAGAACCUUACCAAGGCUUGACAUAUACCGGAAACGGCUGGAAACAGUCGCCCCCUUGUGGUCGGUAUACAGGUGGUGCAUGGUUGUCGUCAGCUCGUGUCGUGAGAUGUUGGGUUAAGUCCCGCAACGAGCGCAACCCUCGUUCUAUGUUGCCAGCACGUUAUGGUGGGAACUCAUGGAAUACUGCCGGGGUCAACUCGGAGGAAGGUGGGGAUGACGUCAAAUCAUCAUGCCCCUUAUGUCUUGGGCUUCACGCAUGCUACAAUGGCCGGUACAAUGGGCUGCGAUACCGUGAGGUGGAGCGAAUCCCAAAAAGCCGGUCCCAGUUCGGAUUGUAGUCUGCAACUCGACUACAUGAA